AGGGAGGUAAGAAGGUGUCAGAGGUAAUUGGUUGUUGCCAUGAGCCAUUGACACAGGAAAUUCUUAGAGUUGAUAUUGUUUUGUAAAUUGACUAGUAGAGAAUUAUGGAAGCCUUGGGACUUUGUUGGAGGUGAGUUUUCUAAAUGUGUUUAGGUUUGUUUGUGUUUUUGCAACUGAGAUUGACUAACUUUAUGGGCCUUUAAGGCUUCAAACUAAAACUUGAAAAUUGACUCUUUUCCCCUCCUUAUUUGUUUUUGUUUUGCUGCUGGCUUUGAAACUUGUGCUAGGAAGAGACCUGGAAAAUUAAGUUUCUUGCAGAGUACAGUGGGGAUUGCAGCUGUUGAGCAGAGAUUCUGGAAAGUAUUGCGCACCUGAGCUCCCAGCAUGGCGGGCCUCAAGCGGCGGGCAAGCCAGGUGUGGCCAGAAGAGCAUGGCGAGCAGGAGCACGGGCUGUAUAGCCUGCACCGCAUGUUUGAUAUUGUGGGCACCCAUCUGACACACAGAGAUGUGCGUGUGCUUUCUUUCCUCUUUGUUGAUGUCAUUGAUGACCACGAGCGUGGACUCAUCCGGAAUGGACGUGACUUCUUACUGGCGCUGGAGCGUCAGGGCCGCUGUGAUGAGAGUAACUUUCGCCAGGUGCUGCAGGUGCUGCGCAUCAUCACUCGCCAUGACCUGCUGCCCUAUGUCACCCUCAAGCGGAGACGGGCUGUGUGCCCUGAUCUUGUAGACAAGUAUCUGGAGGAGACAUCGAUUCGCUAUGUGACCCCCAGAGCUCUCAGUGAUCCAGAACUGAGGCCUCCCCAGCCCCCUAAAACAGUGCCUCCCCAUUAUCCUGUGGUGUGCUGCUCCACUUCGAGUCCUCAGAUGUGUAGCAAGCGGCCAGCCCAGGGGAGAGCCACACUUGGGAGCCAGCUAAAACGCCGGAAGUCAGUGACACCAGAUCCCAAGGAAAAGCAGACAUGUGACAUCAGGCUGCGGGUUCGGGCUGAAUACUGCCAGCACGAGACUGCUCUGCAGGGCAAUGUCUUCUCUAACAAGCAGGACCCACUUGAGCGCCAGUUUGAGCGCUUUAACCAGGCCAACACCAUCCUCAAGUCCCGGAAUCUGGGCUCCAUCAUCUGUGACAUCAAGUUCUCUGAGCUGACCUGCCUCGAUGCAUUCUGGCAUGACUACAUCAAUGGCUCGUUACUAGAGGCACUUAAAGGUGUCUUCAUCACAGACUUCCUUAAGCAAGCUGUGGGCCAUGAAGCCAUCAAGCUCUGGUGAAUGUGGACGAGGAGGCCUAUGAGCUAGACCGACAGAAACUCCUGAGGAACUUGAUGCUGCAAGCAUUGCCCUGACCUUUCCCCUUCUCACUUCUCUGGGGACUGUUCCCACACCCACCUCUGGAGCUUACAUACUGUUCGGGGGUUUGUUCUCUACCCUUCCAGCCAAUCACACCCCUGCCUUUUUUUUUUUUAAAGGAAAAGACAAAGGAAAUUGGAGGUGGUGUUCCCGCCCUCCCUGCACCCACAUGCCUGGGUUUCCCCUUGUUUCCCUUUUCCACUUACCCUGAUGUGUCUCUACAGCCACCUUACCACGGAGCCACAGACAAACGUACAGGGUGAAGCAAAGUCUGUGGAACAUAGUCUUUGUAAGGGAUUGAACACUGCUUUGGGGUGCACUGAGGGACUAUCGGUACUUCUGGCUUUAUGAGGGCUCUUAAAUAUUGUCUGAAAAACCAAAGGGCUGUGAGUAAGGGAGCUAUGUGGAAGGUGGGACUCUGAAGUGUAUUUUGGAAAUUAAUCACUCACCCUCUUCCAAAUUACAGAAUUUAUAAAAAA
RNA transcript from Carlito syrichta (Philippine tarsier), 1823 nucleotides. It is a transcript of the gene named death effector domain-containing protein pseudogene, with no coding region annotated. The transcript is spliced from 2 exons. Lineage: Eukaryota; Metazoa; Chordata; Mammalia; Primates; Tarsiidae. The record is from RefSeq and is a predicted model, not a curated record.